GUUUUGUGAAGUCCAUGCUUUGACAGGUCAAAAGGGAACCUAAACCACUAGAAAAAUGGCUACAGUAUCCUCGACUUCAGGCGACUGGAAAACAGGGCUUUUUGACUGUUUUUCAGACAUGCCCAGUUGCUGCUAUGCGUUCUGGCUUUU
This is a long non-coding RNA of Sardina pilchardus (European sardine), 150 nucleotides long. RefSeq lists it as uncharacterized. NCBI's taxonomy places the organism in Eukaryota, Metazoa, Chordata, Actinopteri, Clupeiformes, Clupeidae. The record is from RefSeq and is a predicted model, not a curated record. The transcript is spliced from 3 exons.